UAGGGUAUAUUGGGCAAUGGUCGAGAGACUGACCCAGCCAUGCCGCGUGCAGGAAGACGGCCUUAUGGGUUGUAAACUGCUUUUAUACAGGGGUAACAGUAGGUACGCGUACCUAUUUGAAAGUACUGUAAGAAUAAGGAUCGGCUAACUCCGUGCCAGCAGCCGCGGUAAUACGGAGGAUCCAAGCGUUAUCCGGAUUUAUUGGGUUUAAAGGGUGCGCAGGCUGAUGUAUAAGUCAGUGGUGAAAUCUCCCAGCUUAACUGGGGAACUGCCAUUGAUACUGUAUGUCUAGAGUUUAGACGGCGUAGGCGGAAUAUGUCAAGUAGCGGUGAAAUGCGUAGAUAUGACAUAGAACACCGAUAGGGUAGCCAGCUUACGAGGCUAAUACUGACGCUCAAGCACGAAAGCGUGGGGAUCAAACAGGAUUAGAUACCCUGGUAGUCCACGCAGUAAACGAUGAUCACUCGUUGUCGGCGAUAGACAGUCGGCGGCCAAGAGAAAUUGAUAAGUGAUCCACCU
This 519-nucleotide ribosomal RNA is filed under the name uncultured bacterium. RNAcentral's name for it is "bacterial SSU rRNA". It matches the Rfam family "Bacterial small subunit ribosomal RNA", at positions 355 to 874 of the family's 1533-position model. The record is from RNAcentral.